Molecule: non-coding RNA, 305 nt
Organism: Pelobates cultripes (western spadefoot toad)
Lineage: Eukaryota; Metazoa; Chordata; Amphibia; Anura; Pelobatidae
Source: the annotation of a GenBank genome assembly
CUUGGGCCAAUCGGUUAUGGGAGAGUAAUAGGAGUAUUGCACAUAAAUACCAGGAAUUCCUUGAGGAAUUCAAAUUAACAUUCAAACCAUUAGGCAGGGAGGAUGACGCCUCCACUGCCCUAAUGUAUAUCAAACAAGGGAACCAGUCUAUCUCAGAUUAUGCAAUAGCAUUUCGCACCUUGGCUUCUGAAGUAGACUGGAUGAAUAGCGGGUUAAUCUUUGCAUUUAAAAAAAAGGAUUAUCCGAAGGAAUUCUGGACGAGAUUGCUGCCAAAGAUCUACCUAAAAAAAUUAAAUGAGUUUAUC